UGAAAGAAAGGGCUGAGAAGGGGCAAGGGCUAAAGGGGAAGUGGGCCAGGGAGCAUGAGCAGUAGAGGGGAGAGAAGUGGGGCAGGACAUGGCUGCGGCCAGAGGGUCCCUGGGCCAGGACCCAGAGUAGUGGGUGGGUGGGCCUAGGUCUGCCCCUUACACUGUACUUGGCUGUGGAGAGCCUGGCCUGAUACAGACUGUGGCUUUUCCUGAGGCAAGGGGCUAGACUUUGGGGCUGCAGUUGGCCAUGAAGGCAGGUGCAGACUGAGGACUGUGUAUACCCCCUGGAAGGGGAGAGCUCCAAGUGAAGCAUAGCUGGAGGGCUGUGUCCAGAAGAGGAUGCCGCAAGCCAGGGAGCAAUGCGGGUCCCAGACAGCAGAGCAGACAAUGGUGCUCCGUGGCUAGGACAGAGAAUUCCUGGAGCAACGAGCAGGAGUGCUAUGGUGACUGGUCUGGGAACCAAGUUUAAAACAAAGGGUUCCUGCUAUAUGGAAAAGCUGUAUAAGGCAGGGAGUUGUUCUUCACUCCCCCACAACUCAACACCUGAGAGAAGCUCUGGAAGAAAAGGACUUGGAGUGGAGUUCGGGAGCCCAAGCUGCAAAGCAAGUGCAGCUUGUGCCUUGACAACCUGCAAGCCUGCGUGUAUCAUCAGUCAGGGUGAGAAAUAGCUAAUUCAUAUCCAGUCUUUCUAGUAUCUAAACUUAGU
Molecule: long non-coding RNA, 706 nt
Organism: Dermochelys coriacea (leatherback sea turtle)
Lineage: Eukaryota; Metazoa; Chordata; Testudines; Dermochelyidae
Exons: 2
Source: RefSeq, a predicted model, not a curated record